This 622-nucleotide long non-coding RNA is filed under the name Fukomys damarensis (Damara mole-rat). Its description in RNAcentral is "lncRNA (ENSFDAG00000022904.1)". Lineage: Eukaryota; Metazoa; Chordata; Mammalia; Rodentia; Bathyergidae. The record is from RNAcentral.
AGUGGGUAAAAAUGAGCAGAGAAGAAAACCCACAAAAGCCACGAGCCAGUGCCCAAGGUCAACAUGGUGCUGAGAAGUCACAGAGCAGGGCCUUGGAAAUACAGCUGAACACCCCAGCCUACCUGCCAAUCCCAGUCCAGGGCCACCGCAAAACACCUGGCUCUUCAAAACUGCCAAGGUCGCUGGAACCAGGGAAAAAGAGCAAGCACUCCCACCCACAACAUCUGGUGAUGAAAUAUCCUCUGAACAGGACCUGGAGGAGAAGAAGGAAGGCAGAACAGAGGUGAGUCACCAGUGGAGUUGGAAACUGCAACAAGAGUUCUUUCCAAGCUGAGUGUAAGCCCUGCUCGACCCUGUCUGAGUCCAACCCUGGAGCCCUGCCAUCACAAUCCGGUGCACUAAGGCCAGGCAGUUCCUCUCAUGCUUUUCCCCCACCUUCUCUGUACCUGUGGUCUUAGCAACUCAAGCGGAGCAGGGAGGCAGCUGGACCUCCUUCACAGGUAACAAUGUCAUGUUUUCUUUUUUUUUUUUAAUUGAGUUUAUUGGUACAUUUUAGGUAUACAGUAUAGUUGCAUUCGUUAUUGGGAUCUUGUACCUUUACAUGACAGGUCUUGGUUUUCAU